ACUGGGUGUGAUGGUGCAUGCCUGGAAUCCCAAUGACUUAGGAGGUUGAGGCAGAGGGAUUGCAUGUUUGAGGCCAGCUUCAGGAACCUAGUGAAGCCCUAAGCAACUUAGAACAAUACACUGUCUCAA
This 129-nucleotide small RNA is filed under the name Marmota monax (woodchuck). Lineage: Eukaryota; Metazoa; Chordata; Mammalia; Rodentia; Sciuridae. The record is from RNAcentral.